RNAcentral lists this RNase P RNA (411 nucleotides) under Variibacter gotjawalensis. Its description in RNAcentral is "Bacterial RNase P class A". It matches the Rfam family "Bacterial RNase P class A". From Rfam's summary of the family: Ribonuclease P (RNase P) is a ubiquitous endoribonuclease, found in archaea, bacteria and eukarya as well as chloroplasts and mitochondria. Its best characterised activity is the generation of mature 5'-ends of tRNAs by cleaving the 5'-leader elements of precursor-tRNAs. Cellular RNase Ps are ribonucleoproteins. Lineage: Bacteria; Pseudomonadati; Pseudomonadota; Alphaproteobacteria; Hyphomicrobiales; Nitrobacteraceae. The record is from Rfam by way of RNAcentral.
UCAGUUGGCUGGACGGCCGCGCCGGCAAAGUCGAAAGGCUGCCGGGGAGGAAAGUCCGGGCUCCAGGGACAAACGGUGCCGGAUAACGUCCGGCGGGGGUGACCCCAGGGACAGUGCCACAGAGAACGAACCGCCGCCCUCCCCUCGGGUGGGGCGGUAAGGGUGAAAAGGUGCGGUAAGAGCGCACCGCGGGACCGGCGACGGGACCGGCUAGGUAAACCCCACCGGGAGCAAAACCGAAUAGGGGCGACGAGAAUUCGGCGGUGAAAGCCGCAGUCUUCGGUCAGUCCGGACCAGUCGCCCGGGUAGGUUGCCCGAGGCGCCGUGCAAACGGCGCCCCAGAGGAAUGGCCGUCACGCGGUGGGUUCGCCCGCCGCCCUACAGAACCCGGCUUACAGGCUGGCUGAUGCU